AAAUUUAUCAAAAAAAUCAAAACGACCUACAAUUUGAAACAAGGGAGUACGUAAUUAGCUAUGCUGCUUGCUCUUUGCAACAGACCAAAGCUUCAAGUUGGAUUGUCACUAACAAUCCUGUGUAAUAGCAGGACUCUGGUUACAGGCUAAUUUCUGGAGGACUGCUAAUUUUUCAUAUCAACCAUAAACAACUAUUGGUCUAUAAUCUCUACUGCACUGAACAGUUUGUAGUUUUUGCUGCCUAGUACAAAUUGUGGUAACUACCAAUUACCAACUUUAUUAACAUCCC
RNAcentral lists this long non-coding RNA (289 nucleotides) under Setaria viridis. RNAcentral describes it as "long non-coding RNA (SVIR_LNC011020)". Lineage: Eukaryota; Viridiplantae; Streptophyta; Magnoliopsida; Poales; Poaceae. The record is from RNAcentral.